Molecule: long non-coding RNA, 4161 nt
Organism: Carassius auratus (goldfish)
Lineage: Eukaryota; Metazoa; Chordata; Actinopteri; Cypriniformes; Cyprinidae
Exons: 2
Source: RefSeq, a predicted model, not a curated record
GCUUUUUUUUCACUCAUGGUCUGGUCUGGUCAGUGAUUCGUACAUGUGUAUUUGCUUUUGUGUAUUGCAAAGUGAAAUGAAAGAAAUAGAGCAGAGAUUUAAUUUUUAUUCUAUUUGCAUCAUGCUUGAGAUGUCGGUUUUAACACCAGCAGAUGGUUUUUUAAGAUCAGCUUCAUGCGUGAUCACGGUUGUCAGUCUCAUAACUCGUAUGGCCUUUCAUUUUGACACUGAUCUGUUGCCCUUUGAACGUCCUGCCGGAUGGACAUAGACACAGGAGAGGUCAGGUCACAUGACUGGUCUGUUCGUUAAGUAUCCUCUGGUGUUUCAUGUCAGUUUGUGUCAUGGCUAAUUAUCAUGGAAAUCCAACUCUGAUCAAGAACAGCAGCCCUAAUGAAAGAGACCGAAACCCUCUGGAUCUAAACCCUUGGUGGGCCAGACAGACUCUGUGCAGGGCGAGAACAAAGUGAGAGAGAUUAUUAACAGAGCAAGUGUGUCUCGGGCAUAAGCUGACACAUGCAGAAUACUCUCCCCGAGGGCUAUUAGAGCUCUGGGUCAGCCUGUGCUUUUCAGACAUGAAACACGGCCCUUGACUAAAGAGGAAAAUCUUAGCAUUCUGUUUUACUGACAGCCAAGCGUAGCAUUCCCAGCAUCUGGUUUAGAGCGUAGCUUCACAUCAUUUAAACUGCAUUUAGGCCACUUGAUAUUUGGGAAAAUAGUGCACAGUUUGAAAACGUAUCAUAAUAUACAUUGAAUACUGCCAGCAAAUAAUAGUGUUUCAACUGUUGGUUUAUAUCCCAGUGCUUUUGAUUGGCAGCUCUGGCUUGGGUUUUGGCAGAAGAGUUUAAUUUUAGCAAUGCUUUAGAGCACAGUCUCACCAGAUUCUGCAGGGGUGAGAAGAUGAUUGAAAUGAAAUUUUUGGAGGGUGAUGAAGAGGUAAAGCAGCAUUUGGUAGCCUGCGGACACCAAGUGACAGGCCGUCCUGGCACGUUGUCGUAUCCAGAAACUGUGACACUCACUUCGGACAGGAGCAGGGAUAUCGGCUGACAUCUCCACGUCUGCUGUGUCACUCCGUCUUAAAUCUCCAGGGAGAGAUCCUCUACUUUACCUUCCAGCCGUUGGCUCCCUGUCCCACACAAAGGGGGGCUAGAAAUGUGUGCUUUUGUAGAAUACAGAGAGGAAGGGAGGGAAGACAAAAGGUCAAGAAACUGAGAUGAGUGCAUGGCUUAACAAUAAGGAUGGUUUGAUGGCCCAAUGCUGGUUGAUUGAACUGUGGCAAGUCAGGUUAGUGCUGUGCUGUCACGGUUUCUACUGAUUGAUGAACAUGCAUAUGUUUUCUGUGGCUUGCAAGCGGAAACAUUUGGUUUUCUCCGAACGUUAAAAAUUCUGCUAAUUUAAAUAUGUUGCCACAGUAACAUCUUGGCUGGCUCACACAGAUGAGGUUUGCGAUAUUGAACGCAUUAGCUAUAAUGGAAAAUUUUCAAAAUAAUAAAAAGAAAUAUUGUUUGGCACUCAAUAUAAUUGUUAAUAUGAUAAUACAAAUAGAAUGCAAUCUAAUACAUUAUAUAUACCAUUUGUACAUAAUAUAAUAGUACAUAAAAGUAUUAAUACAUUGGAAUAAAUGUAUGUAUGACAUUGUUGGCAGGACAAGUGAAAGUCCCGCUUAGGCCAGCAGAAAUGUUCCUUGUUAUGGAGCCCUCUGAAUGAGAUGUGGAGAAAGGAUAGAAGAGGCAGUAAUAGAGGAGGAGAACGGGAGAAAGAGCCAUGUGCAAAAGCAAGGAGAGUUCAUUUAUAGUGCAGUGGGGCUGUGGGUCGGGUCCCCGGUCUGCAGUCAGGGAUCUUCGUAGAAGCCCCGCAUGUGCUAUAGUAAUUAUACUGUAGCUCCUGAGACCAACAAUGGGAGUCUCUUUCUUUUCUAUCGCUUUCCCCCAGCACCCUCCUGCCAUAAAUAUCAUCUCUGCCAUGCAACGUUGGACAGUUUGUGGGGGACAGAAUAGUUCCUGAAUAACUUAUAAUGUAUAGUUUUGGUGUAAUUGCGAUUCAUACCACAAAUAUGCACUGAGAUUUUUUUUUUUUGGAACUUUAAAUGUUUAAAAAAAAAAUUAAAAGCAAACAUUCUAUUUUUUUUUAUGCCUUUUUAUUUUUUCUUGUUUUUAUUUUUUUAGCUACACUAUUUUAUUGUUCACCAAGCCUGUGUUGCUAUUUCCCAGUGUUUAUUGUUGCACAGCUGUGCGCAAAUUAAAACAACAACAGAAAAAGAAAAAAAGUUCACCAUGAAGCCACCGAUUGAACAGCGGAAAAAAGCAAAUGUGGUCUUAUGAACUGCACAAUUUUCAAAGUAUCUAUUAAAGUAUUGUCACAGUGACGAUACAAACACCCAAACUGUGUGCUGUAUUCUAGCAAAUGUUUGAAAACUAUAAGAGGAUUGCUGAGGUUCUGAGUUUCUCCUCUUACUGGAAAGAUCUAAAUGCAUUACUAUCUAUUAGUAUUGACGUUAAGAGGCGGACAAAACAGUGGUCUGGAACUGGGAUGAAUGGGCCGGAUGUAUUGAAUCUAGUGGAGAUUGGCAAGCUUUGCUGUGUCUGGGGCUGAGGUGGCAAUCUUAAGCCUUGCAGUGUUGGAUCUCUUGUGCUUUAAUCUCUUCAGUGUCUUUUUUGGUGAUCGAGAUGGAAAGCAUUGUGGAGAGAAGAGUGGAGCCAUGCAGUACACUGAAAGCUGAAAUUCGCUGAAGCUUCAGACCAGGCCUCAUUGACGUCGUUGUGCAUAAUGAGGAGAUUGGCAGAUGUUUUAAUGUUCCUGUGGCUUUGAGGUGUGAGCAGAUGACAGAGACACUGCUUUCAACAGCGAUAGAGAUGCAAGAUGUACUGAUCUCAAUCUCGCUGAAGAAAAUAUCUCUGAGGUUUGGCCUUUAUAGCAGGCCACAGACAGUGGGGACGGUCCAGGGAGCUGUUUUACAUGCACAUUGACUGUGAAAUCACAGUGUAUUAACCCCAUUCCUUACUCUACCUCUUCCAGCCUCGUCACAUCCAAAAACGAAAGUUUUUUUUAAUGCUCCGAGAGCCCUUCAAGAGAGCUAAUUCCCCUCUAAAAAAACGUAAUCUACUGCACUUUCCCACAAGUGGCAGCCGUCUGUUUAAAUCUCCUUUCUCAGCUUACUCCGUUUAAAGCUUCUUAACAGCUAGGGAACAUUCAGGGAAUUUUUUGUUUUCCACAAAUGUGCAAAAACCUUCUUCCCAGCUUACAACUCUAUGCCUCUUGCACCUGUAAACCAGUGUAGGCGUUAGCACCAUGGUUUUUGGAAUGGCUUUACUUCCUUAAAGCACAGGAUGUUUACCACCAUCAAUAAAUAACAAUCCUUAAUUUAUUUUGGACCACAAGCUACUAUGUUCUCCAGGCAGAUGUUCCACAACACUCACUAUGGAUAAACGCAUUACCAUCUGCUGUGAGUAAACAGAAUAGGGUCAACAUUUAACAGUACAGGGGUCGACAGGAACUUCACAGGAUGAUGCUUGGACAGAAAGCUGUGCUGAAACUGACUGAAUGUAGUUGCUAAUGCAGCAGCGGAUAUGAUGGAAAAGGUCAGCUUUAUCUCAAGACGUUGUCUGAGCCGGUGAUGAAAAGCUGAAGUGAAAGUGCAGACCUUGAUGGAAACGGAGCUGUGGAUUUGAAACCGCUGGGUUGAAGAACCGAGAGACCGGCCUGCCUUGUUUCCUCUGACCUCGAGAGGAACUAAUUAUAGCUUGGCUUGUUUGGUGGAACUCAAUUGCUCAUUCUCCAAUGGAUUCUGGUCAGAAAGACAUUUCAGUAUGCAACAGAUUAUUUCUCUCAUCCAAAGUAAUAAUUGCAUUAUCUCUCAGGCUCUCGCUGUGUUUAUAUAUAUAUAUUGGAAAUACCAUUUUGUUUUUUACUGUCAUGGACUAUAUCUUGUCAAAAUAUGACAUUUAAUAAGUGUGAUUAAAGAAAUAAUUUGUAUAAUUUCAUUACAAUAAUUUUCAUGAAAGUUGCACAAUAUAAUUUUUAUAUUGUGAGUUUUUUUUUUUCUUUAAAUGUUUGGAGUUGGUAAAAAUAAGAAAUGCCUGCGUUUAGUUGCUCAUAAAUGCACUCAAAAUGGUAAUAUUGUCCAUAUUAUUACAAUGUCAAAUAAAUGUUUUAUAUUGUAAUGUU